UCCUACGGGGGGCAGCAGUGGGGGAUAUUGCACAAUGGGGGGAACCCUGAUGCAGCGACGCCGCGUGGGUGAAGAAGCGCCUCGGCGCGUAAAGCCCUGUCAGCAGGGAAGAAAAUGACGGUACCUGGAGAAGAAGCCCCGGCUAACUACGUGCCAGCAGCCGCGGUAAUACGUAGGGGGCAAGCGUUAUCCGGAUUUACUGGGUGUAAAGGGGGCGCAGACGGCGAUGCAAGCCAGGAGUGAAAGCCCGGGGCCCAAUCCCGGGACUGCUAUUGGACCUGCGUGGCUGGAGUGUAG
RNAcentral lists this ribosomal RNA (297 nucleotides) under uncultured bacterium. Its description in RNAcentral is "partial 16S ribosomal RNA". It matches the Rfam family "Bacterial small subunit ribosomal RNA", at positions 337 to 651 of the family's 1533-position model. The record is from RNAcentral.